UUUGGUUGGUUGAUGGUUGAUUGAGAUAGGAUAACAGGUGGAUAGUCUAAUAAAUAGACGAGAUGAUGUCGGAUUUUCGAUAGGAUUCAUAUGAUAAGUGAUUGGUAAUAUGUUAUGUGGAAUACGACUUGACUAUAUGGUAGAGUCCAAGCAUGAUUACGUGUUAAGUGAUAUGUGAUAAGUUUAAAGGGGUAUAUAAGUGGGUAUCGAUAUACGUGAUAUGUAUAUGCGAUAUAUUGUUUAGUGACUAUAGUAUUAUCUUAUUUUCGUAAGUGUAUGCCCGAAGACGUUCAGAAAGUCACGUGGUGUUACAAAGCGAAUAAGGGAUGAAUCGAGUAAGCGAAGCGAAGAUGUACGGUAGAUAGAGUAUAGCCAUAGAUGGUCUAGAGACUAUGAGAGGCAUAGAUUGUGAAAGUGGAAAGAUGAGAUUGAGAUGUGAGACUGGAGUCAGAUUUAAGGCAAGUAUCCUAUACCCUUCUCUUGGAUAUCUUGCAAUUAUUCUGAUCCAUUCUUUUCGUAUGUGUUGCAAAUAUUCGUUCCUCUCUUUUUCAUAUUUGAAAGUGUAAAUAUUUUAUCCAUCCUUUUCUAAUCCUCAAAAAUUCAGAUAAUUCUAUCUUUACAAAUUAAUUCGAAGUUCAGAUCGUCAUUGAAGCAUGUGUUGCUCAGUGAUAGUUAGAGCUUUGAAUGAAUUGGGAUCUUCUUGAUUAUUCAACCCGCCAUUGUCAUGCUGGUUUAGCAGGCUAAAUUCAGUUGCUUAGCCGAUAAUGGAGGAUACUGAAUAGUUAAGGAUUUCCUGAACUAUGAUUUAUGAAAGGAUGGACUCUGGUUUAUAAAAAGUUGAUUGUCAAGUUUGAUUUGAAAUUUUUCUGUUAUUGAUAAAUGAUUGUGAUUUUGUUCUAUUGAUAUACGUUGGUUUGUUGAAUUGAAUUAGAGAAUUGGAUUAUUGUUUUUAUAUAAACCUGUGGACCAGAUUCGUGGUCAUGUUAGGCCAAUGAGUGCCUUGGAUCCAGUGAUAGAGCAUGGCGGGGCCUGCUCGGGGUUAGUGCGGAACUGAUCAGCUGCCUAACCUUGGUUUUAAUUAAAAUGUGAUAGUCCAAUUCAAUAAUUCUUUGGAAAGAUUGAAUUUCUCAGUUUAAAUGCUGCAAGGUAUUGUAAAUCAUUCUAUACAAUACCAUGAACUCAUGAACUCAGGUUGAAUCCUCUUAUAUCUUGAACUCGUGAACUUCUGUUAUAUCAUUUCAGAACUAUCAUUGUUUAUUAUUACUUGCUGAGCAUUGUUGCUCACCCUUGCUAUUCCUUUCUAACCAUUUCAGAAAGGCUUAAAGAUGAGAUGAUUGAUUG
RNAcentral lists this long non-coding RNA (1341 nucleotides) under Daucus carota (carrot). RNAcentral's name for it is "long non-coding RNA (DCAR_LNC007330)". Lineage: Eukaryota; Viridiplantae; Streptophyta; Magnoliopsida; Apiales; Apiaceae. The record is from RNAcentral.